Long non-coding RNA from Erinaceus europaeus (western European hedgehog), 1727 nucleotides. RefSeq lists it as uncharacterized. The transcript is spliced from 4 exons. The record is from RefSeq and is a predicted model, not a curated record. NCBI's taxonomy places the organism in Eukaryota, Metazoa, Chordata, Mammalia, Eulipotyphla, Erinaceidae.
GCUUCCUGCAAGCAGAGAGACUUUGUAUGGGACACUCAUGCAUGCCUACUUCUGGGAAUCUCUCUGAGUGUGAUGUGUGGACACCAGGACACCAUGAUCAGGGAUGUGAGGCCACAGGAGCAAUUGCCUUAGCCGGACCCAAAGGAUGUAAAAACACUAAAGGGGGAGAUGUUUUUGCCCUGAGGCUUUCACUGGGAACUACCAGAUGCACUGUGUCUGUUGCCAGACUAGGAAAAUUGUGGUGCCUGUCCAUGUGAAGAGUCUCCUUGAUGAGUUCCUUCUCAAUCCUUUUUCGCAAGGACCCGGGGAGUUUGUGCUUCCUGCAAGCAGAACUACUUUGUAUGGGACACUCAUGCAUGCCUACUCUGGGAAUCUCUCUGACUGUGAUGUGCGGACACCAGGACACCAUGAUCAGGGAUUGUGAGGCCACAGGACUAAUUACCUUAGCCGGACCCAAAUGGAAUCCCGGAAAAACCAUCUGAACACCUGCACACCCUGAAGUCACCCACUAGAUGGCACGACUACCGUGGCACACCCCCCAAAACUCUAGAUGUCACUCAAUGCGAUCUGAAGAACCUGAUACACAGACAUCAAGGACAGAACUUUCUUCAUGCCUGGUUACCGUUCCUGCUUCUGACCUGCUUGUCACGUGUUGGCAGUUCCAGCUGGCUAUCUACAGAAAAGCAACAUUCCAGUGGCUGACCUCCCUCAUGCAGCGUUGCAUCCCCUGAAAAUUCUUCCCAUAGCCAUCUACUUCAGACUGAGACUUGUAUCGGACUUUCUGACAUACCCUAUAUACAUUUUACACAAUUUUGAAGCAGCUUAUUUCCCUUCACGCUGCUGGUUUUUCAUAGACUGAUCCUGAGUAAUUCAUAGACUUUACUGACUAUUGCCUUGAGGACUAUACAAUGCCAAAUAGCCCCUCUUUUUGGUGGGUCAUGCCUCCCGCCUCCCCCUCAUUAUGUACCCUUGCCCCUUUCCCCACCCAAGCAGGGAAUGUUCCUUUACACACCAAUCCUUCCCUUCACACCACACUGGCUUUUACUACUCCCCUACUUGUCCCUUCCUAUUUUGUUAUAUCAUUUAGGCUUAUGCCCAAAAGGUUUCUGCCCCAUGAUAGUCUUUUACAGAUUUUGUACAUCUUAUACAAUGACUAGAUAGAAAGAUAGAAAAGAUGUAGAGAUAUUGUGAAGAGAUGGUUGAGCAGGCUGAACUUAAACCUAUGAGAUGAGUCUCUCCAGGUAAGUCUCUCUUUUUAAAGAGGGGUUGAGCACAGGAGGACGCAUAAAUGUCACAAGGUUUGCAGCCAUUUAAGCCUUCCCUCCUCCACAGAAAGUCCUACAUCUUCCCACCUGAGCAUGGCAUUCCUCUAAAACAUUUAAGCCUGCUCCAUUCCAUUUUUCUUUACUGUGUCCAUUUAGAUAUAAAGGGAUAGGAGGAGAUGUUGCUGAGGAGUUAUUCUGAUGCAGUCUCUGCCCCCAGGUUUUUCUAUGCCCCGCAAAAUCCUAGAGUGCCCCCUUUCAACCAAUCCUGGCCCUACACGUCACCCCUGGUUGUCGCCCAAUAAAAAGCCCCCUCACCCCCCACUCUCUCUCUGGGCUCUCAGCUCUCCCUCUCUGAGAUCUGGCUCCUGCUCUGCCCACCAUGGUCAGAUAGUGGGGACGGCCAUUGUCGGCUGACUCCACGUGGUCUGAACCAAACCCCCCUAGCCUAUAAUAAAGAUUUGU